CGCGACACCGAUACCACCGAGAGCAGCGGCGGCGACACCGAGACAGCGGGCCAGAGCGCGGGCGUUUGUGCGCUGGCUCCUCGAGCAGCAGUUCUCUGAUGCAUCGGAAUGUUUCAGGGAUGCUUGUCAAGCCGAAGGAGCUUCAUGACCUCCUUCCUGCAUCCUUUCUGUCGGCAACGCUCUCCACUUGC
Long non-coding RNA from Nothoprocta perdicaria, 191 nucleotides. RefSeq lists it as uncharacterized. The transcript is spliced from 3 exons. The record is from RefSeq and is a predicted model, not a curated record. NCBI's taxonomy places the organism in Eukaryota, Metazoa, Chordata, Aves, Tinamiformes, Tinamidae.